This 358-nucleotide transfer RNA is filed under the name uncultured Microcystis sp. RNAcentral describes it as "partial 16S-23S ribosomal RNA intergenic spacer". The stretch from base 135 to 208 matches the Rfam family "tRNA". The record is from RNAcentral. Lineage: Bacteria; Bacillati; Cyanobacteriota; Cyanophyceae; Chroococcales; Microcystaceae.
AAGGGAGACCUAAUUCAGGUAGGAGACGAAAAAAAAGUAGUCGCUACCAAGAAUCAAUCCCAAAAGGUCGGAGCGAGGCGAAAUUGGCUUUCAAACUAGGUUCUGGGUUCACACAAGACCUGAAUCAGGAACAAGGGCUAUUAGCUCAGGUGGUUAGAGCGCACCCCUGAUAAGGGUGAGGUCCCUGGUUCGAGUCCAGGAUGGCCCACCUGCACAGGUGGCAAAAACAAGAGAAGCUCCGAAUCAGCACCUUAUCUUAUCUAUAUAUAAGAGAGAAUGCUGGCUCUGAGUAAAGAGUCCAGAGGAACCUUGAAAACUGCAUAGAGCUAGGUGAAAAAGCCAAAAAAGAAGACCGCAA